GGGGUUGCAGCUCAGUGGUAGAGUGCUUGCCUUGCAUGCACGAGGCACUGGGUUUGAUUCUCAGCACCA
This 69-nucleotide transfer RNA is filed under the name Ictidomys tridecemlineatus (thirteen-lined ground squirrel). RNAcentral describes it as "Spermophilus tridecemlineatus (thirteen-lined ground squirrel) tRNA". It matches the Rfam family "tRNA". From Rfam's summary of the family: Transfer RNA (tRNA) molecules are approximately 80 nucleotides in length. Their secondary structure includes four short double-helical elements and three loops (D, anti-codon, and T loops). Further hydrogen bonds mediate the characteristic L-shaped molecular structure. tRNAs have two regions of fundamental functional importance: the anti-codon, which is responsible for specific mRNA codon recognition, and the 3' end, to which the tRNAs corresponding amino acid is attached (by aminoacyl-tRNA synthetases). tRNAs cope with the degeneracy of the genetic code in two manners: having more than one tRNA (with a specific anti-codon) for a particular amino acid; and 'wobble' base-pairing, i.e. permitting non-standard base-pairing at the 3rd anti-codon position. Lineage: Eukaryota; Metazoa; Chordata; Mammalia; Rodentia; Sciuridae. The record is from Rfam by way of RNAcentral.